Callithrix jacchus (white-tufted-ear marmoset) is the source of this 4618-nucleotide long non-coding RNA. RefSeq lists it as uncharacterized. The record is from RefSeq and is a predicted model, not a curated record. Lineage: Eukaryota; Metazoa; Chordata; Mammalia; Primates; Cebidae.
UGCCCCCUGCCCGUGUGGACGGGGGCUUCUCAUGGCCCAGAGUCUCCAGGUCAGGCCUGUCCCCACCCCGGGACUGAAGCCUGCUUGGGUCUACUCCUGCUGCCUGGAGACCACUGGGCCAGCGUAACUGCCCAUCCUCUGUACACCAGGAGCUCCUGCAGCUGAAGCGAGGCUAUGCUGCACACCCGCCCAGCACUUCCACACGGCCCGGGCACACCUGCCCAGCACUUCCACAUGGCCCGGGCACACCCGCCCAGCAAUUCCACAUGGCCCGGGCACAAGUGACAAGCCCCUGCAUCCUGCCGCUGUGAGAAGAAAGGACCCUCACAUCACAGAGGAGUAAGGUGUGGCUCUUGAGCUAAAAAUCAUCUGUGAAGUUCUCAAAUCAUCUCUGAUGGAUGGGUCUUUUCCUUUAAUUUUUUUAGAAAAUAAUUUUGUAUUAGGUUCAUUACUUCCCUUGACACUCCUCCUUCAGCUGGAAAACCAGCUCCAAGCUAAGAUAAACUUCAGCUAAACACUGGAAUGGAAUCCAAUUUAGAUGCCCCACUAAUUCAGUAAAGCUGAUUAACAUGGCUCUGCUUUUCGAAUCCGUUUGGCGGGCUGCAGGGUUUCUGUUUGGUAAGCAGAGAGGAGAUAAAUGGGUCACUGUGUUUAUGACUCACCAUUCCCCUUAAUGUCCACACUGGAGAGAGUCCGUUCUGAUUACAAUUAAAAUGCUUUUAUGCCAUUUUAGCAGUAAUCGAGCGAACCCGGCCAUUUGUGCUUUGAUUCUCUCAGUUAAGUAAUUGAUGAUCACCAGCCAUCAUUGGAUGAUAACAUUCCAUCACUCGGCCUCCGCCCGUGACUUAAAAAGAGCCGGGACUGUGCUGCUGAGUCACUCAGGGAGUCGGCCUCUCGGGGAAAAGUGGGCACUUCCUUACUGACAACGGCUUCUGGAGGUCACGGCUGUUUGCACAAACCUUCCCAGGUUUAGGAGUUUGAUGUUACCUCGGAGGGCUGUGGGUGAGCGUGGGUGAUGGUGCAGGCCCAGGAACCCAUGUGGAGGUCUCAGCCUCCUUGAUUAGCCCCAGACAGGAGCCAAAUAAACACGAGUGGGAGGCUCUGUGGGCAAGUUUGUAGCCAGCCUGCGGGUCCUGCUGGAGUCCGGAAGCCACAGGAGCCAUCUUCCUUCCUGGGCAGCCGCCGCGCGGAGGAGGAGCCCACACAGGAGUCAGGUUCUGAGGCUGAGUCGGUGCCUGGGAACAGAAGGGAGCCCCAAGGGGACACUGGGUACAGCUGGGGGGCCGUGGGCUCUGAGUAAAGACUUGAAAGGGUUGUGACAUUGGCGGUGGGACUUUCCAGGGAAAGGCGACAGCUCCUUGAAGGGCCGGAGGCCGGAGGCCAAGGCAGUCAAGAAACAGCAAAGAGGAGGAAGAGCAGUUGGAGAGCAGAACGCACCUUGAUGGGGCUGGCGCCAAGUGGGGACCAGUGCCUGACUCCGGAAGGAGGGGAUGGAAGCUGGAAGGCUGCUCAGGUGUGGGCAGCACUCCCAGACCACAGCCCAGCCCUGUGAGGACUCGCACAGCCUGCAGGAGCAAAGGCCACAGCACCCAGGCUACAGCCUCGCAGUGGCCUCAGGAUGAGAGACCCUGCUAGGCAGUUAGGAGGAGGGUUCCCUGUCAUCUGCAAGAGCUGGUCCUGCUAGAGCCAGUCAGAUCCCUGAAUAGCAGGAGAUGAAGGUGAAGAAGAGAAACUGAGCGAAGCCCCGUGUCCCAGAUGGCAGCCAGAGGCACACGUGCAAUUCGGCGUCCAAGCUACCCGUGCUGUGUAACAAGCGGCCCGGCACUGGGACUUCAGCCCACAAGAGCUGCUGUUUCUCAGGGUCGGUGGGUUGGUGGGGUCCCUGCUGACCUGGGCUGGAGGAGGAGGCUGGCCCCCCUCACAUGCCUGAAGAUCAGCAGGCGGGCAGUCUCAGCUCUCCACUGUGGCCUGCCCAGCAGCAGCCCUGGCACCAUCACAGGCUGGCCUCCUGGCUCCCAGUGAACCAAGACAGCGCAAGCUCUGAGGUGCAGGCUUUCAAGUUUCUGCUGAAGCCACGCUGUCCAAUGUCCCAGCAGAUUCCAGGGAGGAGAAAUAGAUUCUGCAACACAAUGAGAGUGAGUUCCCCUGCAGGGGGCUCUCAUGGCGAUGGGUGGGAGGGCCCUGCCCUCGGUGCUGACAGCCCACCCCGCCAAAGGGCAGGUGCAGGGAGGGCAGGCGGCAGGAGGAGGAAGCCAUGACCUCGUCUCGUCAGGGGUGUCCGGGAGCAACUCCUCCCUGACCACCCGGUGCCUGGAGGCCUGCGGAGUGUCACUUAGCCUCUCCUUGCCUCAGUUUCCCCAAGAGUAAACUGGGAUAGGAAGGCCCCUCCAUGGCUCCACGUCAGCACCCAUGGGUGAUUGGGGUGGAACACAGCACUUGCCUGGCCUGCUAUAACCACUCAACAAAUGUUUGCUGUUAGUGGUAUUCCCCACCACGUUCGCACUGUCCAUGGUCAAGAAGGAAUUUGGCAAAUCGUAUUAAAUAUUUGCUCUUACUGUUUUUUAUAAAAUGGAUAAAUAUCCUCUUUAAAAAUUCAACUCCAAAAGAAAAAUACAAAUCAAAAGGCAGAAGGUGGAAGCCGCAGCCAGACUUUCCCGAGGCUGGAAGCUCUUUUCAAUGAUGGAAUGAACUCAGUGUGGUCUGAACAGGUGGACGCGGCCCCGUGGGAAUGGUCGACUUAAACACGCGGCCGAGAUCCAGGCUGGUCUCGAAUUCAUCUUCAGACCUUCCGGAAACCGUGGCUCCCUGGGGUGCUGCUGAGUGUCUGACUGUGCAGCACGUGGAGGGUCAGUUUCAGGCUGAGAGGGCGGUUGUUCAUGGAUCUGUGGGAAGGGGCUGAUUGGUUCCUGUGGGCCCUGGGGAUGGGGUGCAGAGGGUGGGUGAUGACCCGGAGUUGGUCUCUCCCUGAGUUUCUGGACUUAACACCCAGAAUCGAGUCCUGCAUGCAGAAUCCACAGAGAAGAUGGAUGUGAGUUGAAUGACUGUGCCCCAGCGUUCCUGAAGGCUCUCCAGGUGUCCUCUGCGUCCCAGGGCGGGCCCUCCCCUGCACCCCACCACCCUCCACUGGCCCUGAGCAUCCCCAGGCCUGGCUGUCCUUCACAUGCGUCUCCUUAUCCUGCCGCCGCCCUCCUCCCUGUUAGGGCCCCACCCCUGUGCCUGCCCAGUUUAGGGCCCCACCUGGUCAUCAACUUCUCACAUUUGGCAACUGGCUCGCUCUGUCCCCAAUUGUCCACUGGCCAUGGGAAUGGGCCCUGCACAGAACUCUUUCACCACUGGGCCUGAGGCGUGGCAGGGAGCACAGCCCCCCGAGGAGGAGGAUAGAAGGUGGUGAGUUGGUGGGUGGGCUCCACACGGUGUGAUGUCACGGUGGGAGGCAUCUAUACCCACACGGUGUGAUGUCGUGGUGGGAGGCGUCUGUACCCACACGGUGUGAUGUCAUGGUGGGAGGGGUCUAUACCCACACGGUGUGAUGUCGCGGUGGGAGGCGUCUGUACCCACACGGUGUGAUGUCGCGGUGGGAGGCGUCUGUAUCCACUGUGGGGAUAUCAGUCGAUAUCCACUGUCGAUAUUGCUCCCCGACAGUCCCCCACUGGGGCCCACAGGUGUCCACAGAUCCUGCUUCUUUUCCUGAUACCAGGUCGGGGUCUCCUCCUGGUUCUCUGUCUCCAGGCGUGGGGUCAGUCCUGGCUUCCAUCCGGCUUUCUGGAACGUGGCCUGAGGUGGAGGUGCUGCUUUGGCCGGGCCUGGGUGUUUGUGGAACUCGCCUGUUCCUGACCCUGGCCAGAGCGCUCAGGAUGACGAGGACAAAGCAGAGUGUCCUCAGCACACCUGAGCGGUCACCGGAGAUGGUGCGGUCAGCUGCCAGGCGAUUUCCCUGCAGAGUCGUUGUCUGUGAACCUGGGGAGGGUGUGUGGUUUAGACGCUGCCAUUUGAAGGUUGAUCGAAACUUGCACCCAUUUGAACCUCCAAGGAGCACUAAUGUCUUUUCUGGAAAGCAGACGGUCACGCGGCCCCAUGUGGGGACUUCGAGUCCAGCAUCAUCUUCAUCUGAAACUUCCUUGUCAUGCCGAAAAUGAGGUGUCAUGGCUCAUUCAAAUGAAUAUUAAUAAAUACAAAGUUUGCUAACUUUCUGAGUCAGAAAUAAAACCCUUAAGCCCCUUAAGCCUCAAUCUCAUAUUCUUGCGAUGUCUAAAUAUUGCUUAAAUUUGGGGCUGGAUUCCACUGCUGUCAUAUUUUACGAGUCACAAAAACUGUGACUUUGUUUCAUUGUUUAAUGAAGUUGUAAAUGUCAAAGCCGAUUUAGUGCCUGCAGUGAAGGUUCUUUCUGCUUUACUGGGCAUCUGAUUAAGAAUUUAUAUUUCAUUUAAUUUUCCGUGUGCAGACUAGAAAUAAAGCGUUUCUCUCUGAUUUCUUUUAUGAAUAAAACGAUAAAACUUAUUUUUCCAGUAAGUUCUUUGAUGUGUGGGGGAAGUGUCUGAGGAACCCUGGAACUGUUGCGUUGGGGGUUUGGCGUGCGGUGCCCGGAGCAGACGGUGUAUCUGUCAUCAGCCACCAUGAA